This 467-nucleotide ribosomal RNA is filed under the name uncultured bacterium. Its description in RNAcentral is "partial 16S ribosomal RNA". It matches the Rfam family "Bacterial small subunit ribosomal RNA", at positions 28 to 507 of the family's 1533-position model. The record is from RNAcentral.
GACGUACGCUGGCGGCGUGCUUAACACAUGCAAGUCGAACGAUGACGACCGAGCUUGCUCGGUCUGAUUAGUGGCGAACGGGUGAGUAACACGUGAGCAACCUGCCCUUCACUCUGGGAUAACCUCGGGAAAUCGGGGCUAAUACCGGAUAUGAGCUCCUGUCGCAUGGCGGGUGUUGGAAAGUUUUUCGGUGAAGGAUGGGCUCGCGGCCUAUCAGUUUGUUGGUGAGGUAGUGGCUCACCAAGGCGAUGACGGGUAGCCGGCCUGAGAGGGCGACCGGCCACACUGGGACUGAGACACGGCCCAGACUCCUACGGGAGGCAGCAGUGGGGAAUAUUGCACAAUGGGCGAAAGCCUGAUGCAGCGACGCCGCGUGAGGGAUGACGGCCUUCGGGUUGUAAACCUCUUUCAGCAGGGAAGAAGCGAAAGUGACGGUACCUGCAGAAGAAGCGCCGGCUAACUACGUG